Nephila pilipes (giant wood spider) is the source of this 87-nucleotide non-coding RNA. The record is from the annotation of a GenBank genome assembly. Lineage: Eukaryota; Metazoa; Arthropoda; Arachnida; Araneae; Nephilidae.
GCCCAGAUGAGCCCCUAUGGUCCGGUGUGUGGGCUUCAAACCCGUAGCUGACAAGAUUCAGAGUGGUUCGAUUUCAUCUUCUGGGCA